CCUGUUUAUCAAAAACAUUUCUUACUAAAUAGUAGGUAGGCUCUGCUCAAUGAAUUUAAUAGCCGCGGUAUCUUAACUGUGCUAAGGUAGCAUGAUAAUUUGUUUUAUAAUUGAGAACUGGAAUGAAUGAGUUAAUGAUCAAGCUAUUUUCCCCCGGAAAAAUAAGAAUUUUAUAUUUAAGUUCAAAAGCUUAACUUUCUAGGAAGACGAUAAGACCCUAUAAAACUUUAUUAAAAAUAUAUACAUAAAGAUUAAGUAAAAUAAUAAAUAUUAAUUGAGCUGGGGCGGUUUUAAAAGGACACUUAAAAAAAUAACAAGUUUUCUUGAGUUUUAAGAUCUCUCUAAGAUUUGGAUCAAGUUACUUUAGGGGUAACAGCGUAAUGCUCUUGAAGAGAACUUAUCGACAAAAGAGACUUACGACUCGAUGUUGAAUUGAGAGGCCUUAAUAAAGUAAAAAUUUUUUUAGGAGGUCUGUUCGACCUUUAAAUUCUCGCGUGAUCUGAGUCAGACCG
Molecule: ribosomal RNA, 512 nt
Filed under: Acanthaspidia drygalskii
Lineage: Eukaryota; Metazoa; Arthropoda; Malacostraca; Isopoda; Acanthaspidiidae
Description: partial 16S ribosomal RNA
Rfam family: Archaeal large subunit ribosomal RNA
Source: RNAcentral